UACGUAGGGUCCGAGCGUUGUCCGGAAUUAUUGGGCGUAAAGAGCUCGUAGGCGGUUUGUCGCGUCUGCUGUGAAAUCCCGAGGCUCAACCUCGGGCCUGCAGUGGAUACGGGCAGGCUGGAGGCAGGCAGGGGAGAACGGAAUUCCCGGUGUAGCGGUGAAAUGCGCAGAUAUCGGGAGGAACACCGGUGGCGAAGGCGGUUCUCUGGGCCUGUGCUGACGCUGAGGAGCGAAAGCGUGGGGAGCGAACAGG
This 253-nucleotide ribosomal RNA is filed under the name uncultured bacterium. Its description in RNAcentral is "partial 16S ribosomal RNA". It matches the Rfam family "Bacterial small subunit ribosomal RNA", at positions 524 to 776 of the family's 1533-position model. The record is from RNAcentral.